This 73-nucleotide transfer RNA is filed under the name Halomonas beimenensis. RNAcentral describes it as "Halomonas beimenesis tRNA". It matches the Rfam family "tRNA". Rfam says of the family: Transfer RNA (tRNA) molecules are approximately 80 nucleotides in length. Their secondary structure includes four short double-helical elements and three loops (D, anti-codon, and T loops). Further hydrogen bonds mediate the characteristic L-shaped molecular structure. tRNAs have two regions of fundamental functional importance: the anti-codon, which is responsible for specific mRNA codon recognition, and the 3' end, to which the tRNAs corresponding amino acid is attached (by aminoacyl-tRNA synthetases). tRNAs cope with the degeneracy of the genetic code in two manners: having more than one tRNA (with a specific anti-codon) for a particular amino acid; and 'wobble' base-pairing, i.e. permitting non-standard base-pairing at the 3rd anti-codon position. RNAcentral also lists the same sequence under 1 other name. Lineage: Bacteria; Pseudomonadati; Pseudomonadota; Gammaproteobacteria; Oceanospirillales; Halomonadaceae. The record is from Rfam by way of RNAcentral.
GCCGGUGUAGCUCAGUUGGUAGAGCAACGCACUCGUAAUGCGUAGGUCGGUGGUUCGAGUCCACUCACCGGCA